Long non-coding RNA from Echinops telfairi (small Madagascar hedgehog), 463 nucleotides. RefSeq lists it as uncharacterized. Lineage: Eukaryota; Metazoa; Chordata; Mammalia; Afrosoricida; Tenrecidae. The record is from RefSeq and is a predicted model, not a curated record. The transcript is spliced from 3 exons.
GAUUCUCCAAAGAGCCAACCCCUGUGUACAUCUACCGGAACCCCAGGGCCCCUCAGACAGCCCAUUGAUCUCCUUCGCACCAGCCAAGAGUCAGUUCCCUCAGCCACACGCCCCGAUGUCCUGGCACCUACAGAUUCUGAGGCAGAGUGGCCUGUGGACCGCAGGAGGAGACACUUCGCUCUGCGAGAUGCUGCAACAAACCGGCCAGGAAUAGUAUUGCCGUCCACUUCUCUCAAUGGAAAUUUCUGCACAGCUCAAGGCUAGAUGCUGUCUUCCUGAAUUGGUGGAAAAUCUGAGCUCUCCCUUCCUUCUGACUCCUGAUGUCCAGUGUCCUGAGGGAUCUGGAGACUCACCAUGGGGCCAGCUCAGAGGGCAUGACCGAGCUUCUAUGUUCGGCAGGGACUCUGAGGACUAUAUAUGCAGGGAGCCAUCCCAUGAAGCCACAGGGUCUGAUGGACUACAG